This 433-nucleotide ribosomal RNA is filed under the name uncultured bacterium. RNAcentral describes it as "partial 16S ribosomal RNA". It matches the Rfam family "Bacterial small subunit ribosomal RNA", at positions 29 to 507 of the family's 1533-position model. The record is from RNAcentral.
AACGAACGCUGGCGGCAUGCCUAACACAUGCAAGUCGAACGAGACCUUCGGGUCUAGUUGCGCACGGGUGCGUAACGCGUGGGAACCUGCCCUUAGGUUCGGAAUAACUCCCCGAAAGGGGUGCUAAUACCGGAUAAUGUCUUCGGACCAAAGAUUUAUCGCCUUUGGAUGGGCCCGCGUUGGAUUAGCUAGUUGGUAGGGUAAAAGCCUACCAAGGCGACGAUCCAUAGCUGGUCUGAGAGGAUGAUCAGCCACACUGGGACUGAGACACGGCCCAGACUCCUACGGGAGGCAGCAGUGGGGAAUAUUGGACAAUGGGCGAAAGCCUGAUCCAGCAAUGCCGCGUGAGUGAUGAAGGCCUUAGGGUUGUAAAGCUGUUUUACACGGGAUGAUAAUGACGGUACCGGGAGAAUAAGCUCCGGCUAACUCCGUG